GCGCCUGUACGCCACACUACGAAUCUGAGGGUCGGACGUUCGAAUCGUUCCGGGCGCGCCA
This 61-nucleotide transfer RNA is filed under the name Sphingomonas sp. RNAcentral's name for it is "tRNA-OTHER". Lineage: Bacteria; Pseudomonadati; Pseudomonadota; Alphaproteobacteria; Sphingomonadales; Sphingomonadaceae. The record is from RNAcentral.